CCUACGGGAGGCAGCAGUGGGGAAUCUUGCGCAAUGCGCGAAAGCGUGACGCAGCAACGCCGCGUGGGGGAAGAAGGCCUUCGGGUUGUAAACCUCUUUCAGUUGGGACGAAGCUCCGCCGGUGAACAGCCGGCCGGAGUGACGGUACCUUCAGAAGAAGCCCCGGCUAACUACGUGCCAGCAGCCGCGGUAAUACGUAGGGGGCAAGCGUUGUCCGGAAUCAUUGGGCGUAAAGAGCGUGUAGGCGGCCCGGUAAGUCCGCUGUGAAAGUCCAGGGCUCAACCCUGGAAUGCCGGUGGAUACUGUCGGGCUCGAGUCCGGAAGAGGUGAGUGGAAUUCCUGGUGUAGCGGUGAAAUGCGCAGAUAUCAGGAGGAACACCAAUGGCGAAGGCAGCUCACUGGGACGGUACUGACGCUGAGACGCGAAAGCGUGGGGAGCA
This 440-nucleotide ribosomal RNA is filed under the name uncultured bacterium. RNAcentral describes it as "bacterial SSU rRNA". It matches the Rfam family "Bacterial small subunit ribosomal RNA", at positions 338 to 770 of the family's 1533-position model. The record is from RNAcentral.